CAGUCGCCGCGGUAAUACGAAGGGGGCUAGCGUUGCUCGGAAUCACUGGGCGUAAAGCGCACGUAGGCGGAUCGUUAAGUCAGGGGUGAAAGCCUGGAGCUCAACUCCAGAACUGCCUUUGAUACUGGCGAUCUCGAGUCCGGAAGAGGUGAGUGGAACUGCGAGUGUAGAGGUGAAAUUCGUAGAUAUUCGCAAGAACACCAGUGGCGAAGGCGGCUCACUGGUCCGGUACUGACGCUGAGGUGCGAAAGCGUGGGGAGCAAACAGGAUUAGAUACCCCGGUAGUCCCUGUCUCUUAUAA
This 301-nucleotide ribosomal RNA is filed under the name uncultured bacterium. Its description in RNAcentral is "partial 16S ribosomal RNA". It matches the Rfam family "Bacterial small subunit ribosomal RNA", at positions 509 to 809 of the family's 1533-position model. The record is from RNAcentral.